UAAACGAUGCUAACUCGUUUUUGGUUUUUAGGAAUCAGAGACUAAGCGAAAGUGAUAAGUUAGCCACCUGGGGAGUACGCUCGCAAGAGCGAAACUCAAAGGAAUUGACGGGGGCCCGCACAAGCGGUGGAUUAUGUGGUCUAAUUCGAUGAUACGCGAGGAACCUUACCAAGACUUAAAUGGGAAUUGACAGCUGUAGAAAUACGGUUUUCUUCGGACAAUUUUCAAGGUGCUGCAUGGCUGUCGUCAG
This 250-nucleotide ribosomal RNA is filed under the name uncultured bacterium. Its description in RNAcentral is "partial 16S ribosomal RNA". It matches the Rfam family "Bacterial small subunit ribosomal RNA", at positions 803 to 1058 of the family's 1533-position model. The record is from RNAcentral.